GACAGAGGGUGCAGACGUUGUUCGGAAUUACUGGGCGUAAAGCGCGUGUAGGCGGCUCUGUAAGUCGGGCGUGAAAUCCCACGGCUCAACCGUGGAAGUGCACCCGAAACUGCGUAGCUAGAGUCCUGGAGAGGAAGGUGGAAUGCUUGGUGUAGAGGUGAAAUUCGUAGAUAUCAAGGAGGAACACCGUGAGGUAGGAG
This 200-nucleotide ribosomal RNA is filed under the name uncultured bacterium. RNAcentral describes it as "partial 16S ribosomal RNA". It matches the Rfam family "Bacterial small subunit ribosomal RNA", at positions 524 to 720 of the family's 1533-position model. The record is from RNAcentral.